AUGAGAGAUGUAAUGUUUGUCUCUGUUGUGUUGAAGUCCAAUCAAGCAGGAGAGACCAGCCUCCCCUGUUCCCAGCUGUGUGUCCAUGAAGAGUGACUGGUCUAUGGAACUACCUUAUACAUUUUCUACUGAACAAAGAAACCAACAGGAGAGAUCAAGAGUCAGAUAUUCUCAGUGGUCAGUCUUCCCAGAGUCAUCAAACAGACCUGGCCUCCAUAUUCAGUUUGCUUGAAGAGAAUAUUAUGACAUUUGUGAAGAACGAGCUGAAGAUGUUCAAGAGGAUUCUUAGUCCAGAACUCCCAGAAGGCUUUGAGAGUCAGAAGCAGGAUAAGGAAGUGGUGGAUGCUGAGAUUCUUAGUCCAGAACUCCCAGAAGGCUUUGAG
Long non-coding RNA from Oncorhynchus kisutch (coho salmon), 383 nucleotides. RefSeq lists it as uncharacterized. The record is from RefSeq and is a predicted model, not a curated record. NCBI's taxonomy places the organism in Eukaryota, Metazoa, Chordata, Actinopteri, Salmoniformes, Salmonidae. The transcript is spliced from 3 exons.